UUCCAAUACUGAUCGAACGGUGCCCCGGCAACGCGCUGGGGAGAAUAGGGAAUGCCGUGCGUUCCCCCCGCUGCUGCGGCAAUCGCAGCAACCACAUACAGGCGGGGAACAAUUCGGCAGCGGUUGCGCCGCUGUGACGGGCGACGCUCCUUUCCACACCACAAACCACUGCUCCAUUGCGGAGCGGGAAGGCCGGAAAGGAAGCGAAUGACCCCGAAGCCAGAAGACCUGCCGUCCGAUCCUCAUCAAC
RNAcentral lists this non-coding RNA (250 nucleotides) under Chlorobiota bacterium. The record is from RNAcentral. Lineage: Bacteria; Pseudomonadati; Chlorobiota.